UGAGGAAUAUUGGUCAAUGGGCGGGAGCCUGACCAGCCAAGCCGCGUGAGGGAAGAAGGUACAGCGUAUCGUAAACCUCUUUUGUCAGGGAACAAAGGCGGGGACUAGUCCCCGGAUGAGGGUACCUGAAGAAAAAGCAUCGGCUAACUCCGUGCC
This 156-nucleotide ribosomal RNA is filed under the name uncultured bacterium. RNAcentral describes it as "partial 16S ribosomal RNA". It matches the Rfam family "Bacterial small subunit ribosomal RNA", at positions 355 to 509 of the family's 1533-position model. The record is from RNAcentral.